CCCCGUACACAAAAGCGCAUGUGCUGUGAGCUCGAUGAGUAGGGCGGGACACGUGGUAUCCUGUCUGAAUAUGGGGGGACCAUCCUCCAAGGCUAAAUACUCCUGACUGACCGAUAGUGAACCAGUACCGUGAGGGAAAGGCGAAAAGAACCCCGGCGAGGGGAGUGAAAAAGAACCUGAAACCGUGUACGUACAAGCAGUGGGAGCACCCUUUGGGGUGUGACUGCGUACCUUUUGUAUAAUGGGUCAGCGACUUAUAUUCUGUAGCAAGGUUAACCGAAUAGGGGAGCCGGAGGGAAACCGAGUCUUAACCGGGCGUUAAGUUGCAGGGUAUAGACCCGAAACCCGGUGAUCUAGCCAUGGGCAGGUUGAAGGUUGGGUAACACUAACUGGAGGACCGAACCGACUAAUGUUGAAAAAUUAGCGGAUGACCUGUGGCUGGGGGUGAAAGGCCAAUCAAACCGGGAGAUAGCUGGUUCUCCCCGAAAGCUAUUUAGGUAGCGCCUCGUGAAUUCAUCUCCGGGGGUAGAGCACUGUUUCGGCUAGGGGGCCAUCCCGGCUUACCAACCCGAUGCAAACUGCGAAUACCGGAGAAUGUUAUCACGGGAGACACACGGCGGGUGCUAACGUCCGUCGUGAAGAGGGAAACAACCCAGACCGCCAGCUAAGGUCCCAAAGUCAUGGUUAAGUGGGAAACGAUGUGGGAAGGCCCAGACAGCCAGGAUGUUGGCUUAGAAGCAGCCAUCAUUUAAAGAAAGCGUAAUAGCUCACUGGUCGAGUCGGCCUGCGCGGAAGAUGUAACGGGGCUAAACCAUGCACCGAAGCUGCGGCAGCGA
This 836-nucleotide ribosomal RNA is filed under the name Salmonella enterica subsp. enterica. RNAcentral describes it as "bacterial LSU rRNA". It matches the Rfam family "Bacterial large subunit ribosomal RNA", at positions 371 to 1211 of the family's 2925-position model. Lineage: Bacteria; Pseudomonadati; Pseudomonadota; Gammaproteobacteria; Enterobacterales; Enterobacteriaceae. The record is from RNAcentral.